This 275-nucleotide long non-coding RNA is filed under the name Pan troglodytes (chimpanzee). RNAcentral's name for it is "long non-coding RNA NONPTRT010296". Lineage: Eukaryota; Metazoa; Chordata; Mammalia; Primates; Hominidae. The record is from RNAcentral.
GAGGGCUCCUUUCCCCGAUCCUGCUCCCUGAGCUGAGUUGUGUCUGAAAAAAGCAGAACUGAUGUAAGAGAAAUAGAAAACAUUUUAUCUUUAGGGUUGGCAAGGUCUUUCUAUGUCACAGGCUGGCCCCUGAGGUCUCACAGGGCCCAGGGCACAAACUUCAGGACGAGAGCAGCUCAAAUGCAGCGGCCCACGCCCCUCUCCUCCCUGUGCUCAGCCUUCUCUGGGAUCCGAGCUCUCCGUCCAGGCUGGCGCUGACGUCAGACACGUUCUGG